Molecule: ribosomal RNA, 327 nt
Filed under: uncultured eukaryote
Lineage: Eukaryota
Description: partial 18S ribosomal RNA
Rfam family: Eukaryotic small subunit ribosomal RNA
Source: RNAcentral
CCCUUAGAUGUUCUGGGCUGCACGCGCGCUACACUGAUGCGCUCAACGAGUUUUAACCUUGCCUGGAAAGGUUGGGUAAUCUUUUUAAAACGCAUCGUGAUGGGGAUAGAUUAUUGCAAUUAUUAAUCUUCAACGAGGAAUUCCUAGUAAGCGCGAGUCAUCAGCUCGUGCUGAUUACGUCCCUGCCCUUUGUACACACCGCCCGUCGCUCCUACCGAUUGGGUGUGCUGGUGAAAUGUUCGGAUCGGCCGUUUGUCGCGGUUUCCGCGUCAUGUGGCUGAGAAGUUCAUUAAACCCUCCCACCUAGAGGAAGGAGAAGUCGUAACA